This 321-nucleotide long non-coding RNA is filed under the name Elaeis guineensis (African oil palm). RNAcentral describes it as "long non-coding RNA (EGUI_LNC029487)". Lineage: Eukaryota; Viridiplantae; Streptophyta; Magnoliopsida; Arecales; Arecaceae. The record is from RNAcentral.
UGGGAGAAUCACCAUUCAAUCUAAUAUAUGGAAUGAAAGCAAUGAUCUCAUUGGAGAUUGGACUGCCAUCAAUGAGGGUCGAACAGUAUAUAGAACAUAGUAAUUUCGAUUGUUGAAGAGUCGACUUGGACUUGCUCUCAAAAAUUUGACAGCAAGCAUAGAUAAGAAUGGCUGCAUACCGAUAAAGAGUGGUCUGAUAUUACAAUGCAAGAGUUAAACCGAAGGUCUUCCAUCCUAAAGACUUGGUCCUGAGAAAAGCAAAAAUUUCAAAUCCUUGGAUCAAAGAAAACUAUCUCCAAACUGGGAAGGCCCCUAUAGGGU